This 463-nucleotide long non-coding RNA is filed under the name Homo sapiens (human). RNAcentral's name for it is "HSALNT0295364". Lineage: Eukaryota; Metazoa; Chordata; Mammalia; Primates; Hominidae. The record is from RNAcentral.
UUCCCCAGCACUUCCUGAGCAAACUUUCAGUAGCUAGAAAAAGCCCUCAGGCAAACAGACAUAUGUGCUGGCAGUUUUGAAGGCCUGGAUGUUAAGUGCCAAGAGAAUUUGGGCAGGGCACUGAUGGCAAAUGUUAUAUCUUCCCUGCACUCUCUCUUAGGAAACUACUGAAGAAUGUGCUCCACCAAAACAGUGUUGUGAGUCAAGAAAGAGGAAGAGGCGGAAUUCAGGAACCAGAGCACUCAACACAGAGUCAGAAGAAAAGCUAUGAGCAACUGGGAAAUCAAAACUGAAAUUCCUUUGAAAGAGCCAUUGAUGCCAAACUGACCUGAAAUCUGGGGCUACCCUAAGAGGGCUUUGGCCUAAAUAAAUGGUCCAGGAGUGUAAUUUCCAUGAGGACAGGAACCAUGUCAGUUUUGUUUAACACUGUAUCCUUAGCAUUCAACACAGACCUUGAAGCAGC